RNAcentral lists this ribosomal RNA (489 nucleotides) under uncultured bacterium. RNAcentral's name for it is "partial 16S ribosomal RNA". It matches the Rfam family "Bacterial small subunit ribosomal RNA", at positions 28 to 506 of the family's 1533-position model. The record is from RNAcentral.
GAUGAACGCUAGCGAUAGGCUUAACACAUGCAAGUCGAGGGGCAGCAUGGUCUUAGCUUGCUAAGACUGAUGGCGACCGGCGCACGGGUGCGUAACGCGUAUGCAACUUGCCUCACAGAGGGGGAUAACCCGUCGAAAGACGGACUAAUACCGCGUACACUUGGGAUAGGGCAUCCUGACCCAAGGAAAUGAAAUUCGCUGUGAGAUAGGCAUGCGUCCCAUUAGCUAGUUGGUGAGGUAACGGCUCACCAAGGCGACGAUGGGUAGGGGAACUGAGAGGUUGAACCCCCACACUGGUACUGAGACACGGACCAGACUCCUACGGGAGGCAGCAGUGAGGAAUAUUGGUCAAUGGGCGAGAGCCUGAACCAGCCAAGUCGCGUGAAGGAUGACUGUCUUAUGGAUUGUAAACUUCUUUUAUACGGGAAUAACAAGAGUCACGUGUGGCUCCCUGCAUGUACCGUAUGAAUAAGCAUCGGCUAACUCCGU